RNAcentral lists this ribosomal RNA (162 nucleotides) under Felicia fruticosa subsp. brevipedunculata. Its description in RNAcentral is "5.8S ribosomal RNA". It matches the Rfam family "5.8S ribosomal RNA". From Rfam's summary of the family: 5.8S ribosomal RNA (5.8S rRNA) is a component of the large subunit of the eukaryotic ribosome. It is transcribed by RNA polymerase I as part of the 45S precursor that also contains 18S and 28S rRNA. Functionally, it is thought that 5.8S rRNA may be involved in ribosome translocation. Lineage: Eukaryota; Viridiplantae; Streptophyta; Magnoliopsida; Asterales; Asteraceae. RNAcentral also lists the same sequence under 1 other name. The record is from RNAcentral.
AAACGACUCUCGGCAACGGAUAUCUCGGCUCACGCAUCGAUGAAGAACGUAGCAAAAUGCGAUACUUGGUGUGAAUUGCAGAAUCCCGUGAACCAUCGAGUUUUUGAACGCAAGUUGCGCCCGAAGCCAUUCGGCUGAGGGCACGUCUGCCUGGGCGUCACG